Lagenorhynchus albirostris (white-beaked dolphin) is the source of this 107-nucleotide small nuclear RNA. Lineage: Eukaryota; Metazoa; Chordata; Mammalia; Artiodactyla; Delphinidae. The record is from RefSeq and is a predicted model, not a curated record.
GUGCUCGCUUCAGCAGCACAUAUGCUAAAAUUGGAAUGAUACAGAGAAGAUUAGCAUGGCCCCUGCACAAGGAUGACACAGAAAUUGGUGAAGCGUUCCAUAUUUUU